RNAcentral lists this ribosomal RNA (439 nucleotides) under uncultured bacterium. RNAcentral's name for it is "bacterial SSU rRNA". It matches the Rfam family "Bacterial small subunit ribosomal RNA", at positions 959 to 1397 of the family's 1533-position model. The record is from RNAcentral.
ACGCGCGGAACCUUACCAGGUCUUGACAUCCUUCGCUACUUCUAGAGAUAGAAGGUUCCCCUUCGGGGGACGAAGUGACAGGUGGUGCAUGGUUGUCGUCAGCUCGUGUCGUGAGAUGUUGGGUUAAGUCCCGCAACGAGCGCAACCCUUGAUCUUAGUUGCCAGCAUUCAGUUGGGCACUCUAAGGUGACUGCCGGUGACAAACCGGAGGAAGGUGGGGAUGACGUCAAAUCAUCAUGCCCCUUAUGACCUGGGCUACACACGUGCUACAAUGGAUGGUACAAAGGGCUGCAAGACUGCGAAGUCAAGCCAAUCCCAUAAAACCAUUCUCAGUUCGGAUUGCAGGCUGCAACUCGCCUGCAUGAAGCCGGAAUCGCUAGUAAUCGCGGAUCAGCAUGCCGCGGUGAAUACGUUCCCGGGCCUUGCACACACCGCCCGU